RNAcentral lists this ribosomal RNA (2278 nucleotides) under Nanobdellota archaeon. Its description in RNAcentral is "partial 23S ribosomal RNA". It matches the Rfam family "Archaeal large subunit ribosomal RNA", at positions 1 to 2432 of the family's 2987-position model. Lineage: Archaea; Nanobdellati; Nanobdellota. The record is from RNAcentral.
GGUUGUCUUUAUUUAUACUGUUAGAAGGAUAGCUUGGUUUUGGUUUUGAUGAAAGACGUGGCAAGCUGCGAUAAGCCUAGGGGAGUUGCAAGUAAGCUUUGAUCCUAGGAUUUCUGAAUGCUCAGAGAUGAGGAAUUACACUGGGAAUUGAAACAUCUUAGUACCAGUAGGAAGAGAAAACAAUUAGUUAUUCCCCUAUUAGCAGAGAGCGAAAAGGGAACAGGGCAAACUGAAUCUGCUUUUGAAAAGAAGUUAGAGAUGUGGUGGAUGCUAAGCCUAAGGAAUUGAGAAAAAGUCUGCUGGAAUGCAGCACUAUAAAGGGUGAUAGUCCCAUAUUCUAAAAUUCUAUGGCAGGCUCUAAAAGAGUAGGGCUUCCUGGAUUGGAGGUCUGAAUACAGCAGGAUUAACUGCUAACCCUAAAUAAAACCAAAGUCCGAUAGUGAACUAGUACCGCGAGGGAAAGCUGAAAAGUACUCUUAUCAGAGUGUGAAAAGACUUGAAAUCUAGCAGUUACAUUUUGUUACUGACCUUAACUCGCAAGAGAAAGGUUUGUAACGUACGUUUUGAAAAACGGGCCAGGGAGUUAUUCUAUAUGGCGAGGCUAACCAAUUUUAUUGGGUAACCAAAGCGAAAGCAAGUAUGAAAGUGCAUUAGUCAUAUGGAUUAGACCUGAAGCUGGGUGAUCUAUUUAUGGGCAAGGUGAAGUCUCUCGAAAGGGGGAUGGAGGCCUGAACCAGUGUUGUGGACAUGCACUUGGAUGACCUGUGAAUAGGGGUGAAAAGCUUAUCUAACUCAGCGAUGGCUGGUUCCUGCUGAAAUAUGCCUACGUAUAGUCUUGUUGUGCUUGUUAAUGGUGUAAAGUACGGAUAAAAUUUGCAGGGGCUAAUGCUUACGGAAUUUUUUCCAACUCAGAAGCUAUUAACUGUUUAAAACAAGAAACAGGGUGUGUAUGUAAGAUACAUUUCCGAAACCGGAACAACGGAGACUAAAGUUAAGGUCCUUAAAUUUCUGUUAAGUGUAACAAAAGUUGUCUUGAACCUGAGACACCAGGGAUGUAAGCUUAGAAGCAGCUAUCAUUUAAAGAAAGCGUAACAGCUCACCUAUCGAGGUUCAGGGCGCUGAAAAUGGACGGGGCUAAACAGAAUACCGAUACUUUAGCGGCACUCAUUAGAGUGUUCGGGUAAGCAGGCGUGGUUUUUGUGCAGAAGGUUUUUCGAGAGAAAGGCUGGAACGAAAACCAAUGAGAAUCCUGGUAAUAGUAGGAUGUGAUUAUUCUGAGAAUGAAUAAGGUCGUAAGGGUAAGGUUUCCUCGGCAAUAUCGUUUAGCCGAGGGUUAGUCAGCACCUAAGUUGUAUCCUAACGGAGUUCAACGAUGGACAUCAGGUUAAUAUUCCUGAACUGAUUAAGUCUUACGGGUAUAAUUUGGUUUAGGAUAGGCGAACACUCGAAAGAGUGUUUUGAUAGAGAAAUUUGAGGAGGGUAAUCCAUAGAUACAAAUGAAUCUAUUAAACAAAAUCUCUGAUUCCUAGAUCCAGUGAAAAAAUUAUGCACUUGAUUUAAUUAGCUGUACCCACAACCGGCACUGGUGCCCUAGCUUAAUAGGCUAAGACCUGAAAGAUUAAACUAAUUAAGGGAAUUCGGCAAGUUAGUCCUGUAGCUUCGGCUGAAGGGAUGUCUAUUUUUGUGUUUUUAUUCGCAAGAACCUGAAUGCAUUAAUAGAUCUCAGUAACAAGGACGGCCCGACUGUUUACCAAAAACGUAACCAAGUGCUAAUCUGCAAAGACUUGUAUACUUGGUGAGACCUGCCCAGUCGUGGUGUGUGAAACUCUUUUUCAAGGGAGCUAAGCCCCAUGAAACGGCGGAGGUAACUAUGACCUUCUUAAGGUAGCGCAAUACCCUGUCGUAUGAAUUGCGACUUGCAUGAAUGGUUUAACGAGGUUGUCACUGUCCCUAAUUAGUACCUUCUGAAAAUACUGUGUGGUGCACAUGCCACAAACACCUAGUGGGAAGCGAAGACCUUGUGGAACUUUACUGCAACUUGUUGUUGUGAUUUUAUCCGAAACGCAUAGCAUAGGUAGGAGCGUCGAUGCAGUCAUUUUGGUGGCUGUUGAGCAAUCUUGUAAUACUACCCAUUUUUGCUAAAAUUACUCAUCCUUUAGGAGACAGCAGCAGGCGGGCAGUUUGACUGGGGCGGUGCCCUGUCGAAAAAAUAUCGAUAGGACCCAAAGACAAGCUCAUCCAGCUUGGAAAUCUGGAGUUGAGUGCGAGGGCAAAAGCU